CUAUUUUAUUUGCAUGCAGUGGCGGAUCCAGAAGUUUUCAUAAGCGGGGGAAAGGGGGGGGCUGACUGACCUAGGCUAAGGGAGAGGUGCCGCUUCAGUCACGCUUCAGUGAUUCCUUAUAUAAUCAACCAAAUUUUCCCCACGAAAUGGGCCCCCAGAUCCGCCUAUUGCAUGGAUCAUAUGAUUAUCUCAUUUAGUUUAAGUCUAUUUUACACUUGAUUAACACGCAUUUUGUUUAUUUUUUCAAUCGGCACUACAAGUUUUUGUUAUUUUUUAAUUACCAGUAAGUAUUAAAAAAAAGGGAGAACGUAUUUAUCGUGGGGCAACAGAUAAAAAUAAAUGGGGAAUGUGUCCAUUGGAC
Molecule: long non-coding RNA, 361 nt
Filed under: Mytilus galloprovincialis (Mediterranean mussel)
Lineage: Eukaryota; Metazoa; Mollusca; Bivalvia; Mytilida; Mytilidae
Source: RNAcentral